GACGAACGCUGGCGGCGUGCUUAACACAUGCCAGUCGAACGGAAAGGCCCUGCUUUUGUGGGGUGCUCGAGUGGCGAACGGGUGAGUAACACGUGAGUAACCUGCCCUUGACUUUGGGAUAACUUCAGGAAACUGGGGCUAAUACCGGAUAGGAGCUCCUGCUGCAUGGUGGGGGUUGGAAAGUUUCGGCGGUUGGGGAUGGACUCGCGGCUUAUCAGCUUGUUGGUGGGGUAGUGGCUUACCAAGGCUUUGACGGGUAGCCGGCCUGAGAGGGUGACCGGCCACAGUGUGACUGAGAUACGGCCCAGACUCCUACGGGAGGCAGCAGUGGGGAAUAUUGCACAAUGGGCGGAAGCCUGAUGCAGCAACGCCGCGUGCGGGAUGACGGCCUUCGGGUUGUAAACCGCUUUCGCCUGUGACGAGGCGUGAGUGACGGUAAUGGGUAAAGAAGCACCGGCUAACUACGUG
Molecule: ribosomal RNA, 468 nt
Filed under: uncultured bacterium
Lineage: Bacteria
Description: partial 16S ribosomal RNA
Rfam family: Bacterial small subunit ribosomal RNA
Source: RNAcentral